GAUGAAGAACGUAGUGAAAUGCGAUAAUUAAUGUGAAUUGCAGAAUUCAGUGAAUCAUCGAAUCUUUGAACGCACAUUGCGCCCGGCAGUAAUCUGCCGGGCAUGCCUGUCCGAGCGUCAUUUCUCCCCUCGAGCGCAGCUUUCCCCCCCGGGGGAGGGCCGCGCCCGGUGUUGGGGCGCUACGGAGGAGCCCAGCGCUCCCCCGUAGGCCCCGAAAUGUAGUGGCGGUCCCGCCGCGGCGCCCCCUGCGUAGUAGUUUUACAACUCGCAUCGGGUCCCGGCGGAGGCCAGCCGUCAAACCCCCCAACUUCAAUAGUUUGACCUCGGAUCAGGUAGGGUUACCCGCUGAACUUAAGCAUAUCAAUAAGCGGAGGA
Molecule: unclassified non-coding RNA, 375 nt
Filed under: soil metagenome
Description: partial contains 5.8S ribosomal RNA, internal transcribed spacer 2, and large subunit ribosomal RNA
Rfam family: 5.8S ribosomal RNA (bases 1-120)
Source: RNAcentral